AUUGAACGCUGGCGGCAGGCCUAACACAUGCAAGUCGAGCGGAUGAAGGGAGCUUGCUCCUGGAUUCAGCGGCGGACGGGUGAGUAAUCCCUAGGAAUCUGCCUGCUAGUGGGGGAUAACGUCCGGAAACGGGCGCUAAUACCGCAUACGAUCUGAGGGUGAAAGAGGGGGAUCUUCGGACCUCACGCUACCAGAUGAACCUAGGUCGGAUUAGCUAGUGGGUGGGGUAAAGGCCUACCAAGGCAACGAUCCGUAACUGGUCUGAGAGGAUGAUCAGUCACACUGGAACUGAGACACGGUCCAGACUCCUACGGGAGGCAGCAGUGGGGAAUAUUCGACAAUGGGCGAAAGCCUGAUCCAGACAUGCCGGGUGUGUGAGGAAGGUCUUCGGAUUGUAAAGCACUUUGAGUUGGGAGGAAGGGCAGUAAGUUAAUACCUUGCUGUUUUGACGGUACCAACAAAGUAAGCACCGGCUAACUUCGUG
This 484-nucleotide ribosomal RNA is filed under the name uncultured bacterium. Its description in RNAcentral is "partial 16S ribosomal RNA". It matches the Rfam family "Bacterial small subunit ribosomal RNA", at positions 30 to 507 of the family's 1533-position model. The record is from RNAcentral.